AGAGUUUGAUCAUGGCUCAGAUUGAACGCUGGCGGCAGGCCUAACACAUGCAAGUCGAACGGUAACAGGAAGCAGCUUGCUGCUUUGCUGACGAGUGGCGGACGGGUGAGUAAUGUCUGGGAAACUGCCUGAUGGAGGGGGAUAACUACUGGAAACGGUGGCUAAUACCGCAUAACGUCGCAAGACCAAAGAGGGGGACCUUCGGGCCUCUUGCCAUCAGAUGUGCCCAGAUGGGAUUAGCUUGUUGGUGAGGUAACGGCUCACCAAGGCGACGAUCCCUAGCUGGUCUGAGAGGAUGACCAGCCACACUGGAACUGAGACACGGUCCAGACUCCUACGGGAGGCAGCAGUGGGGAAUAUUGCACAAUGGGCGCAAGCCUGAUGCAGCCAUGCCGCGUGUAUGAAGAAGGCCUUCGGGUUGUAAAGUACUUUCAGCGGGGAGGAAGGUGUUGUGGUUAAUAACCGCAGCAAUUGACGUUACCCGCAGAAGAAGCACCGGCUAACUCCGUGCCAGCAGCCGCGGUAAUACGGAGGGUGCAAGCGUUAAUCGGAAUUACUGGGCGUAAAGCGCACGCAGGCGGUCUGUCAAGUCGGAUGUGAAAUCCCCGGGCUCAACCUGGGAACUGCAUUCGAAACUGGCAGGCUUGAGUCUUGUAGAGGGGGGUAGAAUUCCAGGUGUAGCGGKGAAAUGCGUAGAGAUCUGGAGGAAUACCGGUGGCGAAGGCGGCCCCCUGGACAAAGACUGACGCUCAGGUGCGAAAGCGUGGGGAGCAAACAGGAUUAGAUACCCUGGUAGUCCACGCCGUAAACGAUGUCUACUUGGAGGUUGUGCCCUUGAGGCGUGGCUUCCGGAGCUAACGCGUUAAGUAGACCGCCUGGGGAGUACGGCCGCAAGGUUAAAACUCAAAUGAAUUGACGGGGGCCCGCACAAGCGGUGGAGCAUGUGGUUUAAUUCGAUGCAACGCGAAGAACCUUACCUGGUCUUGACAUCCACAGAACUUUCCAGAGAUGGAUUGGUGCCUUCGGGAACUGUGAGACAGGUGCUGCAUGGCUGUCGUCAGCUCGUGUUGUGAAAUGUUGGGUUAAGUCCCGCAACGAGCGCAACCCUUAUCCUUUGUUGCCAGCGGUCCGGCCGGGAACUCAAAGGAGACUGCCAGUGAUAAACUGGAGGAAGGUGGGGAUGACGUCAAGUCAUCAUGGCCCUUACGACCAGGGCUACACACGUGCUACAAUGGCGCAUACAAAGAGAAGCGACCUCGCGAGAGCAAGCGGACCUCAUAAAGUGCGUCGUAGUCCGGAUUGGAGUCUGCAACUCGACUCCAUGAAGUCGGAAUCGCUAGUAAUCGUGGAUCAGAAUGCCACGGUGAAUACGUUCCCGGGCCUUGUACACACCGCCCGUCACACCAUGGGAGUGGGUUGCAAAAGAAGUAGGUAGCUUAACCUUCGGGAGGGCGCUUACCACUUUGUGAUUCAUGACUGGGGUGAAGUCGUAACAAGGUAACCGUAGGGGAACCUGCGGUUG
This 1522-nucleotide ribosomal RNA is filed under the name Salmonella enterica subsp. enterica serovar Manhattan. RNAcentral describes it as "bacterial SSU rRNA". It matches the Rfam family "Bacterial small subunit ribosomal RNA". Lineage: Bacteria; Pseudomonadati; Pseudomonadota; Gammaproteobacteria; Enterobacterales; Enterobacteriaceae. The record is from RNAcentral.